RNAcentral lists this ribosomal RNA (486 nucleotides) under uncultured bacterium. RNAcentral describes it as "bacterial SSU rRNA". It matches the Rfam family "Bacterial small subunit ribosomal RNA", at positions 40 to 507 of the family's 1533-position model. The record is from RNAcentral.
CGGCAUGCCUAAUACAUGCAAGUCGAACGCUGAAGCACUCUGCUUGCAGAGUGCGGAUGAGUGGCGGAUGGGUGAGUAACACGUGGGGAACCUGCCCCUAAGUCUGGGAUACCAUUUGGAAACAGGUGCUAAUACCGGAUAAUAAAGCAGAUCGCAUGAUCAGCUUUUGAAAGGCGGCGUAAGCUGUCGCUAAGGGAUGGCCCCGCGGUGCAUUAGCUAGUUGGUAAGGUAACGGCUUACCAAGGCGACGAUGCAUAGCCGAGUUGAGAGACUGAUCGGCCACAUUGGGACUGAGACACGGCCCAAACUCCUACGGGAGGCAGCAGUAGGGAAUCUUCCACAAUGGACGCAAGUCUGAUGGAGCAACGCCGCGUGAGUGAAGAAGGUUUUCGGAUCGUAAAGCUCUGUUGUUGGUGAAGAAGGAUAGAGGUAGUAACUGGCCUUUAUUUGACGGUAAUCAACCAGAAAGUCACGGCUAACUACGUG